AUCACACAAUCACUGGGUUGAUGAUAUCUGGUUAACUUGAGAGUGAAAUUUUCUUCACAGGAUUUUGAGACCAUCAUUCCAACAGAGGCUCUGCUUGCAGCAGAAGCGGCUGAGGGUGUCAAAGGAAAAUAAGGCAGAGCAACCACUAUGGAGGUGCAGGAGCUGAGCCAUUGCCUCACCUGCUGCAUGCCACACAGUAUACACAGCGAAUGAUGCAACAGCAGUGCCUUUUUCAAUGGACACUUGAAGCCUUCCCUCAUUCAGUCUGCACUUUACUCCAUGGUCUAUGAAGCAAGGCUUUUACGGGAUUGCCAGGUCUACAUGCAGCCUGGCCUGCAGCAGCUAAUCACCCUGAAGCCGGUGCUAGAUUCAGCCAAAGCCACUGAAAUCCCUGCUGGAGACAUCUCUUUCCUGCUGAUCAUGGCAUUGUGAAGCUCACCACUCAACCUAGGAAUGAGAAUUCUAGCCUCGUCAGUGACAACGGGAAUGCUAUCAACCAGGGUCCUCCAGAUCAGCACGCUUGACAGACUGUCGCUCAGCCAGCCUGCCAGCCCUAGAGCAUGCAUUCUGUAAUGAGGGAGUGCGGAGAGCACAUGGGGAGAAGAGACAGACAAGGAAACCCUCGAGGUCUAUGAAUUCACACACAAGAGCUACAGGGACUGUCUGCUUCAUUAAGCAGCUGGCUCUAGGUUUUGGGUGGUGGUUGCAGGGGGAUACAUUUGCCCGAGCUGUAGUCUGAAUCACACCAGCAGAACUACUGUGUCUCUGUCAGAGAGACAGGAGCAAAGCAGAGAAGAGAAAUUGGGAGAGAAUAUCCCAUAAUUACCUUCCUUUCUAAAGAGCUCUGGGGAACAGCUUGCAAAGAACACAGGCAGUGGUUAAAAUAGAUGGUAACAGGCAGGGAAGCUCUUCCUAUGCCAUCCAAGGAGAAGGAGGAGUGUUGCUCCCCCAGGUGAGGGAGAACAGAGGGGGCUCUCCUUCUGUUUUAAAGCAUGGAAUUAAGAAGUAAAAAGGAAGGGGUGUUCUCAAGCACAUUAUUUGUCCCACCUCCUCAUACAAUCAACAUAUCUUUGGCUAGUGUCUCUGCUGAUCUACACCACCUCACGUCUCAAGCAGGCAGCUUUAGUUAAUGUAAGAGGCUACAAGAAUGGCAGCAAUAAUUAUUUUACAGAUCAACACACUCUGGGAAUUGAAGUAUUUUGGGGGGGGGGAUCAGGCACAACCUAAUCUAACCCAAAAUCAAAUGCCUAUUUAGCUAACAAGGUAGUCAAAGAUAAGUGACUAAACUCCAGAGUUCACACUA
Molecule: long non-coding RNA, 1303 nt
Organism: Mauremys reevesii (Reeves's turtle)
Lineage: Eukaryota; Metazoa; Chordata; Testudines; Geoemydidae
Exons: 3
Source: RefSeq, a predicted model, not a curated record